This is an unclassified non-coding RNA of Macaca fascicularis (crab-eating macaque), 148 nucleotides long. It matches the Rfam family "Metazoan signal recognition particle RNA". Rfam says of the family: The signal recognition particle (SRP) is a universally conserved ribonucleoprotein. It is involved in the co-translational targeting of proteins to membranes. The eukaryotic SRP consists of a 300-nucleotide 7S RNA and six proteins: SRPs 72, 68, 54, 19, 14, and 9. The record is from Ensembl. NCBI's taxonomy places the organism in Eukaryota, Metazoa, Chordata, Mammalia, Primates, Cercopithecidae.
GCCGGGCAUGGUGGUGCAUGCCUGUAGUUCCAGCUACUUGGGAGGCUGAGGCAGGAGGAUUGCUUGAGCCCAGGAGUUCGAGGCUGCAAUGAGCUAUGAUUGCACCGCUGUAUUCCAGCCUGAGCAAUAGAGUGAGACCCUGUAUCUU